GAAAGCCGUAUGCUUUGGAAGAAGCUUGUACAGUUUGGGAAAGGGUUUUUUGAGAGAAAAGAAAACUUCGAAGGCAAAAUCCUUCCAAAAUUUUUGAGUCGUCUUUAAACUCUUUUCUUUGUCUCAUUUCGAACGAAUUGACUUUUAUUCCUUAUUCUGAU
This is a non-coding RNA of Triticum aestivum (bread wheat), 161 nucleotides long. The record is from Rfam. Lineage: Eukaryota; Viridiplantae; Streptophyta; Magnoliopsida; Poales; Poaceae.